GACGAACGCUGGCGGCGUGCCUAACACAUGCAAGUCGAACGAGGUCCAUCCUUCGGGAGAAGACCUAGUGGCGAACGGGUGAGUAACACGUGAAGAACCUGCCCCGAAGACCGGGAUAACCCUCCGAAAGGAGAGCUAAUACCGGAUACCCCCCACCGAACCGCAUGGUUUGGUGAGGAAAUGGAUUCCGCUUCGGGAGGGCUUCGCGGCCUAUCAGCUAGUUGGUGGGGUAACGGCCCACCAAGGCAUCGACGGGUAGCUGGUCUGAGAGGACGAUCAGCCACACUGGGACUGAGACACGGCCCAGACUCCUACGGAGGCAGCAGUGGGGAAUCUUGCGCAAUGGGCGAAAGCCUGACGCAGCAACGCCGCGUGGGGGAUGAAGGCUCUCGGGUUGUAAACCCUUUCAGCAGGGACGAAUCAAGACGGUACCUGCAGAAGAAGCCCCGGCUAACUACGUGCCAGCAGCCGCGGUAAU
Molecule: ribosomal RNA, 478 nt
Filed under: uncultured bacterium
Lineage: Bacteria
Description: bacterial SSU rRNA
Rfam family: Bacterial small subunit ribosomal RNA
Source: RNAcentral